RNAcentral lists this ribosomal RNA (588 nucleotides) under uncultured bacterium. RNAcentral describes it as "bacterial SSU rRNA". The stretch from base 1 to 511 matches the Rfam family "Bacterial small subunit ribosomal RNA", at positions 338 to 873 of the family's 1533-position model. The record is from RNAcentral.
CCUACGGGAGGCAGCAGUGGGGAAUCUUGCGCAAUGGGCGAAAGCCUGACGCAGCCAUGCCGCGUGAAUGAUGAAGGUCUUAGGGAUUGUAAAAUUCUUUCACCGGGGACGAUAAUGACGGUACCCGGAGAAGAAGCCCCGGCUAACUUCGUGCCAGCAGCCGCGGUAAUACGAAGGGGGCUAGCGUUGCUCGGAAUUACUGGGCGUAAAGGGAGCGUAGGCGGACAUUUAAGUCAGGGGUGAAAUCCCGGGGCUCAACCUCGGAAUUGCCUUUGAUACUGGGUGUCUUGAGUAUGAGAGAGGUGUGUGGAACUCCGAGUGUAGAGGUGAAAUUCGUAGAUAUUCGGAAGAACACCAGUGGCGAAGGCGACACACUGGCUCAUUACUGACGCUGAGGCUCGAAAGCGUGGGGAGCAAACAGGAUUAGAUACCCUGGUAGUCCACGCCGUAAACGAUGAUUGCUAGUUGUCGGGAUGNANNNAUUCGUGCGCNNCACACAUANANAUCCGCCGUGGGAGGUACGGUCGCAGAAUAAACUAACAAAGAAGUAGACGNGNGAGAGNGCGACGACGACGACGAGGGAGGAGG